This is a non-coding RNA of Manis javanica (Malayan pangolin), 1367 nucleotides long. NCBI's taxonomy places the organism in Eukaryota, Metazoa, Chordata, Mammalia, Pholidota, Manidae. The record is from RefSeq and is a predicted model, not a curated record.
GCACUCCCGGCCCCGCCGCCACCGCGGCCGCCGCUGCUCCGCCAGCCCCAGAGGCAACCCACAAGUGAAGUGAAAUUAAUCAGCAGUAUCCCCCCAUCCCUCGACGUGUGAGGAUUACGUUCUCCCUGGGUACGUGAAGAGAACUGAAGCAGGAAAUUGAUGUCCUGAAGAAGUUAUCUGAAGAAGGACAUAACAGAAUCAUUGGAGCUGGGAAUGAUUUCCACUUCUGUCAGUACCUGGCUGAAUCAUUUAAAUGCUUAGCCCAGAUUUUAUGCCUAAAAGUGGCCAUUAAUUAGAAAAAUCAAUGUUACUACAAACUCAGGUGAAUAACUAAUGCCUGGUAUAGAUCUGCUAAAGUAAUUUCAACCAGAGAUUUGUGUUGGUGUAUCAGUAAGUGAAUUAAACCAGAAGCCAAAGCAAAGUUGGUCUUCAGAGGGACUUAAUGAGUUCAAGAUUUUUCUUUCGAAUUCAGAGGUAUGCCAGGGAUUUUUUUUCAAAUAUUGGUAAGAAAGCUUCUGUGAGUGAGAUGAGAAACUUAUACUGACCAGGUUGAAUGACUUCUGAGUUUCUUGCAUAUCUUCAGCUUUAUAAAGGUGCUGGUAUUUCUGAAUAUAAAUGCUCCUAAAUGCUUGGUAUGUCUUAAAAGAUAUUUGUGUUACAGAAUGAGAGACAUUAAAAUAGAACCCUUUUAUGGGUUGAUUUGUUGGUUAUUAAUGAAAAUUCCCAAAAAGAUAUUGGUUAACAUAGCAAUUAGCAGAUAGUUUCAAACCCUUAGAUAGUUAAAAUAACUGAAAAGCAAAUGAAAUCUAUGGUAUCUAUAUAUUGAAGUAACCUUGUAAUGUUUUUACACUUCAACAAUAAGGUCUUUGAACUUGUAAUAAGAAUUGGUGUGGCUGACUGCAUACUGUCAGUACUCAGGGCUACUAAACCUUAUAUCUCUGCCCUAGUAAAGUAUCCACUCCUAAAAGUUACAUGUUGAGGAAUUUGAUUCAUCCAGGGGUAGUGAGAUGAUAUGGGUUCAUGCUAAUCAAAUUGCAGGAUACUAUUUUUAUAUAUCAGAAAAUAAAUUGUUUUUAUUUAUAUAUAAGGUAUUUCUGGGCCAAGUAGAGACUAUCCACCCUUUCAUUGUUGAUGUUCUCUCAAUCUAAGAUACAAAUGUCAAAUAAUAAUAAGAUACUACUAAUCCUUUGUAUUAAUAUAGGUAUAAAAAUAGUGGACAAAAUGUGAGAGUGAGAAAGUAACAAUAUGUAUUCUUAAUCCACCAGAAUCAAAGAGAUUUUAUCCCAUAAAAGAAAUCAAGGUUCUGUUGCUGGGCAGCUGCAUCUGGGGAUGUCUCUCCCUGUGCACUGGGUGAAGCACUAGGAGAA